AGUGAACGCUGGCGGUAGGCCUAACACAUGCAAGUCGAACGGCAGCACAGUAAGAGCUUGCUCUUACGGGUGGCGAGUGGCGGACGGGUGAGGAAUACAUCGGAAUCUACUUUUUCGUGGGGGAUAACGUAGGGAAACUUACGCUAAUACCGCAUACGACCUACGGGUGAAAGCAGGGGAUCUUCGGACCUUGCGCGAUUGAAUGAGCCGAUGUCGGAUUAGCUAGUUGGCGGGGUAAAGGCCCACCAAGGCGACGAUCCGUAGCUGGUCUGAGAGGAUGAUCAGCCACACUGGAAGUGAGACACGGCCCAGACUCUUGCGGGAGGCAGCAGUGGGGAAUCUUGGACGAUGGGGGCAUGGCUGAUCCAGCAAUACCGCGUGGGGGAAGAAGGACUUCGGGUUGUAAAGCCAUUUUGUUGGGAAAGAAGAGCAGCAGGUUAAUACCCCGCUGUUCUGACGGUACCCAAAGAAUAAGCACCGGCUAACUUCGUG
RNAcentral lists this ribosomal RNA (492 nucleotides) under uncultured bacterium. RNAcentral's name for it is "partial 16S ribosomal RNA". It matches the Rfam family "Bacterial small subunit ribosomal RNA", at positions 29 to 507 of the family's 1533-position model. The record is from RNAcentral.